UAUUCCUUUUUCUUCUCAACUAAAAAACAUUGUUAUCUUCCUUCACAAUCCAUGAUGGUGCGAAGUUGUGGGACCUGCGUAAAUUGAAGAACUUCCGGUCAUUUGAAUCUCCGGAUUUCGAGGUAUGUGUUAGCUUGAUUUUUCUUGCUUUAUAGCUAUCCCCUUUUUUUUCUAUAUUGGCUUAACUACCCAUCCAUCCAUAGCUAAUAAAGCUAGGUGUCCAUGGUUCUAUUGCGAUGCGAACAUUUGUUUCUAUAUUUCAUUUUGAAUCUUGAGCUGUUUCUCAUUAUAUUAGUAAUAAGUUAGUGUGGGGGAUGUGAAUUUUUAGCUUAAUUAAUUAGAAUGUAUUUAUAACCCAUUGUACAUUUAAUUAAUUUGGGAUAAUUAAUUAAUAAUAUUUUGAAUUAUUUAAAUCUACAGCAAUAAUAGACAAUUUGAAACAAGUGGAUGAGGUUGAUGAAGUUGAGGAGUUAAAAGGAUUUAUAGGAGGCUAAUUUUAAAGAAAACAAGGAGGAAUUGGUGGAAAAAGUUGCUGAGCCUAAGGUUAUCGGUGAAUGGCCACGGCUGUCGCAUGAUGGCUGUGGUGGCAGUGACGGUGGCUGAGUACCGGUGAUGGCUGUGAGGUGUGGCGAUUUCAAGCGGCGGCUGAGUACGUGUUAAACCUUCCCUCGAUUGAUAAAGGGAAGGGAAAAUAACUUGCUAAAACGCAAACUUGCCAAAACGGUGUGGUUUGAAUUCAGGAAAGGGAAAAUAACUUGGCAAAACGGUGUGGUUUGAAUCGAUGCAAGUAUCCUUUUCAUUGAUAACAAUGAUUUGUUUGUAUUUAAUACCAUAAUUAAGUAAAUGAUCAUUAUUACAACCAAACAAAAUUCAAAACAAUAAAACUAAUCCAACGUUGACUAAAAAUUUUUCACGCUUUUUU
Molecule: long non-coding RNA, 922 nt
Filed under: Citrus maxima (pomelo)
Lineage: Eukaryota; Viridiplantae; Streptophyta; Magnoliopsida; Sapindales; Rutaceae
Description: long non-coding RNA (CMAX_LNC001383)
Source: RNAcentral